Aplysia californica (California sea hare) is the source of this 228-nucleotide long non-coding RNA. RefSeq lists it as uncharacterized. NCBI's taxonomy places the organism in Eukaryota, Metazoa, Mollusca, Gastropoda, Aplysiida, Aplysiidae. The record is from RefSeq and is a predicted model, not a curated record. The transcript has 2 exons.
GGCAACGGCAAUAUCGAGAUCAUCGAAGUCAUUCAGGUUGCAAAGCUCUUCCCACCCUUGUGAUGUCACAAGGGUGAACUUGACGCCAGCGACAGACGAUAAAUCACGAUGAUAGUAGGCCUACACGAAUAUCUAUAUUAAUUAUUGCAAGUCCAUAUAAUAUUAAUGGCGAUUCUCCAAGAAAUAUUCUGUUUUACCAAGUAUUAAAUUUUAAUAUCUAUAGAACGG